This 406-nucleotide ribosomal RNA is filed under the name uncultured bacterium. RNAcentral describes it as "partial 16S ribosomal RNA". It matches the Rfam family "Bacterial small subunit ribosomal RNA", at positions 29 to 526 of the family's 1533-position model. The record is from RNAcentral.
AUUGAACGCUGGCGGCAGGCCUAACACAUGCAAGUCGAACGAGUGGCGGACGGGUGAGUAAUGUCUGGGAAACUGCCUGAUGGAGGGGGAUAACUACUGGAAACGGUAGCUAAUACCGCAUACCAUCGGAUGUGCCCAGAGGGGAUUGGCUAGUAGGUGGGGUAAAGGCUCACCUAGGCGACGAUCCCUAGCUGGUCUGAGAGGAUGACAAGCUACACGGGAACUGAGACACGGUCAAGACGCCUACGGGAGGCAGCAGUGGGGAAUAUUGCACUAUGGGAGAAAGCGUGAUGCAGCCAUGCCGCGUGUAUGAAGAAGGCCUUCGGGUUGUAAAGUACUAUCAGCGGGGAGGCGGUACCCGGAGAAGAAGCACCGGCUAACUCCGUGCCAGCAGCCGCGGUAAUUC